AGACCGAUAGCGAACAAGUACCGUGAGGGAAAGAUGAAAAGCACUUUGGAAAGAGAGUUAACAGUACGUGAAAUUGUUGGAAGGGAAACGCUUGAAGUCAGACUUGCUAUUCGGGGCUUGCUCCGAGUUGCAGGCCAGCAUCAGUUUUUCGGGGCGGAAAAUCACGGAUUGAAGGUAGCAGUUUCGGCUGUGUUAUAGCUUUCCGUUGGAUACGUCCUGGGGGACUGAGGAACGCAGUGUGCUUUUAGCGAGGGCUUCGGCUCUUUCACACUUAGGAUGCUGGUGGAAUGGCUUUAAACGACCCGUCUUGAAACACGGACCAAG
RNAcentral lists this ribosomal RNA (324 nucleotides) under Rhodosporidiobolus ruineniae. RNAcentral's name for it is "LSU rRNA". It matches the Rfam family "Eukaryotic large subunit ribosomal RNA", at positions 331 to 670 of the family's 3401-position model. Lineage: Eukaryota; Fungi; Basidiomycota; Microbotryomycetes; Sporidiobolales; Sporidiobolaceae. The record is from RNAcentral.